GGGAGGGAGACGGGAGCUGGGGAAGAGGGGAGAGGGGGAGUAGAGUCUGGAGGAGUGAAGGAGAUGGAGGCAGGGGAUGAGACUCUACUAGACACUACUCCACUGGCUCCACUCCAGAUCACCUGCCUAGAGAAGCAGGUGGUGAUGCUGCAGGCUGAACUGCACUCUCUCUCUGAGGAGAACCAGAGGCAGGCUGAGGAGCUGACAGUGUGGAGGCUAAUGGCCCAGCCCCUCUGUCUAGACCCAGAGGACCUCACCUCUGCUACCCUCAGCCCUGGCCACACCACUGCUACCCUCAGCCCUGGCCACACCACUGCUACCCUCAGCCCUGGCCACACCACUGCUACCCUCAGCCCUGGACACAACACUGCAGCCCUGGCCACAACACUGCUACCCUCAGCCCUGGCCACAACACUGCUACCCUCAGCCCUGGACACAACACUGCUACCCUCAGCCCUGGCCACAACACUGCUACCCUCAGCCCUGGCCACAACACUGCUACCCUCAGCCCUGGCCACAACACUGCUACCCUCAGCCCUGGCCACAACACUGCUACCCUCAGCCCUGGCCACAACACUGCUACCCUCAGCCCUGGACACAACACUGCUACCCUCAGCCCUGGCCACAACACUGCUACCCUCAGCCCUGGCCAACACAGCAGUGUGAUGGUGAUCAGAGAGGAUGAGCUGCUUCUCUCCUGUACCUCCAGUAGACUGUAUGGGAGGACCCUGGCCUCAAGACUGCAUCACUGCAAUUCUCCUGAAGCAAAGAGUCUCCAAAACCCAUCCAGAAAGAACAAAUCUACACAUCCCCAAGAGACGGAAAAACAGACCAAUGAACAUGGGGAAGAUGGUGAAGAAGCAGACAUCACCAAAGAUGUUUACCAAAUCUCAGAGCUCCAGACCAAGGCAACAGAGCACACUAACCAAGAUGAUUCAGAAAACAAGACCAAUCCAAACACUCCCAGAGCAACAGAUCAGCACAAUCUAGACGUCAUAGAACUAGAUAACAAAGAGUUCCCCACUCUGUCUCUCGCUGAGGCUCAAUCCACUGAAGCACAGUUCUCUGAAACCAACCAUUCCAGUCACCAUCAAGAGGUACCAAUCUCCACUGGUGUUGAGAAUAAAAGUCACUCCUCGGUCCGUAGAACAGUCACCACUACAUCAGAGUGGCGAACUGAGAGAACGAUGGUGGAGACCAAGGUUCUGAGUUCAAAGGUCAUACCAGCAGGAUGGACAGGUCAAGAGAGAUUGAGCUCUGUAGAGGUGAGUAGUACCAGCUCUCAGACAGAGGGGAGAGAAACAGGCGCCCUACCAGAAACACACCACGUAUACACACAGACGGAGGAGGAGAAUGAUGAAGAACCCACAGAAUCACCCCCUGUGUCACCAGUCCAGAUGUCUGAGGCCAAGGGGGACAGGAUGUUGUUUUCUGGGUCCUUCCCGAUCCCUGCCGACCCAGCCCGUCUUGCGGAGCGGAUCCGUCGUAACCGGACUCAGAUGUCUGCAGCGUACGAUGAUACGGAAUACGAACCCUACGGCCUGCCUGAGGUGGUCAUGAAAGGUGAGGAGAGGGGACACGGGUGCUGUUUUGUUAAUGCUGUGUAUUUGAAUAUCACAACGAAGGGGGGUUGUUAUUAUUGGCCAGAGGUGAAGCCUAUAUACUAUUAAAAUCAGCUCACCAUUCUUUACCACUGUUGGUUAUCAAAAGAUCUGUGUUUAUAUUUUCAGCCUGUCAAAUCAUCAACCACUCUAACCAAACCAACUCUCCAUCAGACCUUACAGACACCGAAACAGACAACAGAUAUGAGCUUAACCUGUGGGAUGGUAUCAAACUAUGUCUAAUUGAAAUGCAUUCCAGGUGACUACCUCAUGAAGCUGGUUGAGAGAAUGCAAAGGGUGUGCAAAGCUGUCAUCAAGGCAAAGGAUGGCUAGUUUGAAGAAUCUCAAAUCUCCAAUUUUUGGUUACUACAUGAUUACAUUUGUGUUAUUUAAUUGUUUAGAUGUCUUCACUAUUAUUCUACAAUGUAGAAAAUAGUCAAAAUAAAGAAAAACCUUUGAUUGAGUAGGUGUUAACUUUUGACUGGUUCUGUAUGUCUUCCUCCUAGCACCCCUAGUAAACAUACAACCUCCCACUAGCAUUAUAUAAACAGUACUAAAUGUUCACAUUGCUCCUUCUCCCAUCUUCUCCAGGUUUUGCUGACAUUCCCAGUGGUCUAGGCUGUCCGUACAUUGUGAGGAGGGGGCUCCUGGGUACUGCUGCUAUGCCCCGCCCCCAGAGAGAUCCCGGCCAGGGGGAGGGGGGGCAGGAGGACCCUGAUUAACCCCCAACAGGUGAAGCGUUUAGCCCCUUAGAACCCAAUAUCUGCACCGGUCACACAAAUAACAGCUGCAUCAUCACACAGUUUACGUUCAGCACGUAUUUCACAAUUAUCACACGGUUUGUGUAGUCGUAAUGUAAACCACUAUGUGAUCGUGAUAGAUUAUACAAAGUCUGUAGUUGCAUAAUGUUGUCUUUAGAAAGGACGUUUCAUGUGGAGAUGACAUUAACUAGUUCCACAUAUGACUGACUUAAUCGUCUGGUCCUCCUUGGGAGAGUAGGGCGUCCCCCAUGGCAAUCCACCUCUCUCUCUCCUGUGUGGGUUCACAAGUUCCACAUAUGGUUGAGUGUAUUUGUUUAUGCCGUGUGUCAGAGUGUUUGUACAGAUCCACUGGAAGACCGUCAGAGGAGUUAAUUUCACUGGACCUGCUGUGUACUGACCCCCACCUCCUGCCCUGAUGUACUGACCCGAAUAAAACCUGUUUCAUCUCUUGUGUACUGAAACACCUGAAGAGGGACAUCUGUCCCCUGCUGACGUUUAAGACAAGACCUUUCAUUGAGUUAUACAGAGGUCCAUUGGUUUCUAUGCACCUACUACAGUACUGUUCUUUACAAAUCUACUGGUUCAGAUUUCCUUGUUGUGGUUCAAAUGAGAAAUGGUGCCUUGUUUUUAUUUAAUUUGUAUAAGCUACUUUAGGCCAUGGUCCAUUGCCUGUUGUGAAAACUUGAAUUUUCAUUUGAAUAGUCUUAUUUAUAGACUGUUGAAUGUUUUAGUGUGUGUGUUCAUGUUGGUUUUUAUAAGCAGUGGGUGUACAUUUGAGGGAGCGUGUGUCGGUUUGUACAAAACUGUCCACGGAUGAGUACGUACUGCAUGUGUAGGAUGAUGUCUGGUCGUUAUGUUUUCUCAAUAUUAGCCUGUGCCUGUGUAUGACUCAACCUAACCUGAGCGUGUUUCCUCUCCUUGUAUGGUGAUCCACUGGGAGCGCUCCUUCUCUUCCCCUCCCUCGUCCCCUCUUUCUGUUCUUUCCCUAUUCAUUUCUCUCUUUCUUUACACUCAAACCUUUUUCAAAAUGACACCCUCUGUGCUCUUGAAUUUACACAAGUGCUAAACACAUGAGUGAGGUAGUUUAUUUUUAUUUUUUUAGAUACACUAUUUAAAUUGUGCAGGUUUUAGUCUGCUUUUUUGGACUAUUUUAGUUUUUCCUAGAUUUAAUAUAUUACAUUUUUGGGGGGAUAGAUUUUUCGUGCACGUUAGUGAUUGUGCCAUAGUUUUCUAGAUUUUCAGUUGCAUCUAUAAACUGCCCUGGUUUGAAACAAUAUUCACUUAAGAGAUUGUAUAUCAAAUGAAUUUAUAGCAUCUUAAAUGUAAUCUUGGUACUGCCACCAAGAUUGUGCUUUGAGGAAGUGUGUGCGCUUGUAUACAAAACAUUAAGAACUCUUUCCAUGACAGACUGACCAGGUGACUACAGGUGAAAGCUAUGAUCCAUUAUUGAUGUCUCUUGUUAUAUCCACUUCAAUCAGCGUAGACGAAGGGGAGGAGAAGGUUGAAGAAGGAUUUCUGGUAGAGCAUGGCACUUGCAACGCCAGGUUUGUGGGUUCGAUUCCCACGUGGGACCAGUACAAACGAAAUAUGAAAAUGUAUGCACUCACCACUACAUGUCGCUCUGGAUAAAAGCAUCUGCUAAAUGACUCAAAUGUAAACGUGUGUGUGUGUGUGUGUGUGUGUGCCAUUCAGAGGGUGAAUGGGCAAGAUAACAUAUUUAAGUGCCUUUGAACAGGGUAUGGUAAUAGGUGCCAGACUCACCGGUUUGUGUCAAGAACUGCGACACUGCUGGGUUUUUCACACUCAACAGUUUUUCCGUGUGUAUCAAGAAUGGUCCACCACCCAAAGGACAUCCAGACAACUUGACACAACUGUGGGAAGCAACUGCCCCAAUGAAGUGAGGCUGUUCUGAGGUCAAAGGGGAGUGCAACUCAAUAUUAGGAAGGGUUCUUAAUGUUUUGUACACUGUGUUUUGUUAACGAAACCUUCCUCCAUUCCAAAUCUGCUCCGACCUUCUUUCAGAGCUGAGGUUUAUUACAGCGUUACUGCAUGGUACUAAGAUGAAUGUGAGUUGUUAUUGGUUUUGUUGUGGUCUAAAAAAAUCUCUCAAAACACCUAUUUGUUUUUAACACACAACUAAAUAAGUUAACAGCCAUUGGAUCUGAUAGAAAUGACAGGUUUAAUACAUUGUGGAGUGAUUUUAACUUGAUAUACAUAGUUAGCUACACUUGCUUUCUGUCACUACUGACAUGAUGCAUGUAGCCACUAGCAACAACCAUGUCUUCUCUAGAUUCUAGAAGCCUGGCGUGUGUUCUAGAACACGUAUGGGCUGUUACAGUACCAUUCACUAGCCUUCUGAACACACCCCUAGCUGAGUUAUCUGUGGGAUCUCUGGGUGGUGGGACUAGUCCAAGGAGUCCAGCAGAACACACUGGAUUCUUUCCCCUGUAUGUGACACUUUUAUGUGAAUGUAUCACUGUUGAUGCUUUGUGUCGCUGUUGAAGAAGAUAGAUUAAAAAGGUUGAUCUAAAUUUAUCUUGUCAAUUUCUCUUUCCACCUCCUAAGGUCUGUGUGUCAGUUGUUUGUUUCUGUCUUGUCUAUGCUAGCUCUAUUUGGUAGUUGUAUUUCUUUCCAUCUCUCUUUAUUCUCUCUAGGUUAGAGUCACAUUCCAAAUAACGCCCUCUAGUUUAGAGGUCACUAAUGAGGUACCCAGUAAGGCAACUGGCAAGACAUCAGUCCGGUGUACAACUGAAAUAAUUUUUUCCAUUCACGGUUGACUUGAAAGUAGCCUGCUGUC
Oncorhynchus tshawytscha (Chinook salmon) is the source of this 5159-nucleotide long non-coding RNA. The record is from Ensembl. NCBI's taxonomy places the organism in Eukaryota, Metazoa, Chordata, Actinopteri, Salmoniformes, Salmonidae.